UAUAUGAAUGUGCGUGUGUGUGUUUGAUUUGAAACAAUUAUAUUCUGUCAUAUACUGUCGCUUCUUCCUACUGUUAUAUGUUUGAUACUAAUGUGUCCUCGUCUUGUAGCUUUACUUGAUAUUGACUCCUGUUUGUGUUAGUAUUUUAAUUCCUCAAAUAAAACAAAAUACCAAAAAGAUAGUGAGUAAUAUCUUAACCUCCCUUUGCUAUUUUGCAUUUUCUUGGUGGCCUAUCUUUGGGUACAAUCAUUGUUAGUUUAGAUUCUUAUUUUCUGCAUUUAUCUCUUAAAAUUGUGCUACCUAGCUUUAGCCAAGCAUAGUCGUCGUCGCCUAGUCCCUGUGGAGAACACGACAUCCGUAGUUUGGGGCGUAAAAACCCCGCUAUACUUUCAAAUGAUCAUUUUGGCGCCGUUGCCGGGGACUAGCGUCGAGCGAUUGUGCUAGGCUAUAGACUAGGUUUUUCUUGUUUUCAUCUUGUGCCAUAUAUUUGUGAUAUAUCUCUAGCCACUAACCCCUGUUCUAGUUAUUAUCUUUUUGUCUUCUUUUCCUUUUUGCAGGUUGGAUUAUCCUCUCGCAAAUGGCAUUCUAUUCAGAUCAUCAUGCUUAUGCGAGCAACACUACAAACAACACGGAAAGUAUACAAGAACUGAUAAGUAAGAUUUCCCAUCGAUUAGAUGAUUUAGCUCGACAGCGAGAGGUAGUUUUUGAGGAUAGGCCUAGCUCUUAUGAUCCUUAUUCUAGAGGUCAUCCUUAUGUUGCUCCUACAUGCCAUAUUUGUGGUUACUCUCACCCUCCCGAUUGUUAUGGCACGAGCUUCGCCCCACAGCCUAGCUCAUACCAAAAAAAUUACACACAUGGGUGGCCUGAAAACCAGAAUAUGUCAUAUAGGAGCAAUAACCCUGAGAUCUCAUCAUUUUCCUCUAGUUAUCCGAUGCAGGGAUUUAGGUAUGAAGAGGAGAGCCACAACUAAGCUCCACAACAGAUUUAUUCAGCUCCUACUCAUAUACCUCAACACCAGGACAUGUUGCCAAUGGAGUUAAAUGGUCCUCCAUUUGGUCAACCAACAUCUUCAACACAAGUGCCCACACAAGAUGACUUUGAUGAUAUAUACAAGCUCACAUUGCUUGGUCUAGAGUUCACUUGGAGUGCCGAAGAUGAUCCAAUUAGGCCGGUGAUACUAGAGGAAAUGAAGAAGAUUAAGAGUGGAAAGGAUCUAGUGGAAGAAGUAAAGAAGAUUGAGAAGAACAUCAACACUGGUAGUACUAUUUCUUCAUAGCUUGAGCUGAGUAAUUCUGGGAUUCUCCUUGAUACAUGUGAGGUUCCAAUACCGUCACAUCCAGCUGAGCAAGAUAGCAAGUGCCUUGAGCAUGAGAUACCUCAGAUUGAAGAAGAUGAACUAGAAGACAAGGAACAAGAUGAUGAAGAGCUGCAAUUCCCAAGUGAUCAAGUUGAAGACUCGUCAUCUACUACUCCUGAAGAAGUACAAGAAGCUGCUGUAGAUGAAGAUGAAGAACCUGAGAUUCAUUGGCCUAUUGUCAUACAUGAGCGUGAUGUGUCAGGUUUACCCAAUCCUCUUGAUGACAUGCUCCCUUGUGAUUUCUUUGCUUCUAACUUGCAUUGCAUGAUGCCAUUACUUAAGGUAGAUUUGAAAAACUAUUUGCUUGGAUAUGAUCAUAUAUACCCUGUUAGUGGCAUUACUCUCAUUUGUGAUGAUCACAAUUACUUUCCUCGUGCUAGUUCUAUGCUUAAUGAAACAUAUCAUUCCCAUGUUAGUCUUGAGCUUAAUGAUAAAUAUCAUCCUCAUGUUAGCAUUGAGCUUACUGAUUUGUACCAUCCUAAACAUGUGCUUUAUAGCUAUGCUUAUGUAAUUGGGUACUCUAUAGAUGAUUUAGAGGGCAUUACCCUUGUCACUUGUAUUGUUUCCUUGGUUGAGUGCUCUUUCAGGUUGUUGCUUGUGCACGAUCCACUACAUGCUGACCAAGUUCGAGAUGACAUUCCCUGGGACCCAGGUGGACCCAUGGCAUGGGGAUGAGGAGAAGCAAGGAGCACACAUGAAGAGAGAAGCUGGAGCAGGCAUGAGGAUAGAGAAGCAAAAGGAGAGGAGUUGCAGUUGGUGAGGUGAUCGAGCGAGUGCUACAUCAUCAAAGCCCGGUGAGCUAUUUCAUGACCCAUUCCGAGUAUAUCAUCCAUUGAUACAAGCUGAAAUCAUUUGAUAUUUGGGUUGCUUGAGUCAUUUCUUAAAUACUGUCCCGCUGAAUUUUAUUUGACAUAUGGUGCUUGAUGAGAAUAUGCGAACUGAUUGUUGAAUGCCAUGUAAACUAGUGAUAUACAUGUUGCUUGCUUUGCUGAAAUUAGUUUUGAGUGCUCAAAUCCCUAGUACACUAGAAAACUUAAUCAUUUUCUGCUUUUACCUCGAUACACCUAGAUCACAACAUUUAGAUGCUGAAUUUGUGCCAAGUGUCUUCCCAUUGAGAGCAAUCACCUAACCACUAUGGAUUAGCAUGCUAUGUUCCCUGGAUCGGUAGCAUGUGAACCAGACAUGGAGAAGUGAUGAUUCCUGUUUUUGUUCUUAUGCAUUGUUCAUUUAAGAUAAGUAAUAAUGAAUAAAUAAGUCUGACUACCUACAGUAGCAUGUCAUGUUCCCGGGAUCGGUGGCAUGUGAAAUCGGGUUAGCUUGGGCAGUAAUUAAUAAUAAUAAAAAUGUAAUUGUCGAACCAGGUGUAUACCAUGUUCUCGGGAUCGGUGGUAUGUUCCUUUGGGGAGACAAACACACUAAAAAAACUAAUAAUUGGUCGAGCCAGGUGUAUACCAUGUUCUCGGGAUCGGUGGUAUGUUCCUUUGGUGAGACUGAUAAAAUAUUAUCAUUACUUCCUUCAAAUUUAAUAAGUGGUUCAACCACAAAAUCAUAUUUCUGCAAAUAAGAGAUUUAAUUCCAGUUCUUUUUGUUCUCGGGAUCAUGCUCUCUUUAGGAACCAUUUGGCACAGUCAUCAUUUAAACUUGUUGAUCCUCUUUUAUCACUGUAAAAGUUUAAAAUGGUCAUGCUUACUAGUAUCCUACCGCUUUGAAGCACUCCUAACCAUUAAUUUUCACUAGCUAAGUCCAAAGCAUGCACUGUUUAGAGAUCUACUUCACUUGGUAUUCUCUAGUCAGCUCACUGUUCACAUUCUUGCUCUUGUCAUAUGCCUUUGCUUGAGGACAAGCAAAAGUUUAAGUGUGGGGGAACUUGAUAAGCACAUUUAAUAUAUGCAAUUUUGGCAUAGAAAUAUAUUAUUUAUUGAGAUAUGACCAUCAAUUCUUGCUGUGAAAUAUUGAAUAUUUGCAUGAAAAUCAUAUAAAGUAUCAUUUACUAGUCAUUGUGUUUCUUUUGCAGAAAAGUGCGCAAAGGCACUAUAAACUUCAAGAUCUGGACUAGUGGCUAAGAGAACCAGUCAAGUGAAAAGGAAGAAGAAAGACAGAGGGACUUGUGUGUGAAGAAAUGAUGCUCCAUGGGACAAGUUAAAGAAGAAAGGGACCUUCUUAUGAAGAAAGAAGAAAAGGAGAAGGGCCAAAAAUGCAAAGUGGCAGAUCAGAGGAGGGGUCAAAAUCCCUAGCGGCAGCUAAUCCCCAUUGCGCCUGGCACAUCUCUCUUCUCCCCCAUCCUCCUUCUCCACCUCCGGCCGCCGCCACGGCCAGGCCGCCGUGGUGGUGCGCCUCCCAUCCACCUGCACCACUCCACUCCGCCACCUCAGCCAUCCAUCCACCGUGCGCCUCCCAGCCACCAGCACCUCCCACCACAUCACCCAUCUCCAUCCACCAGCACCACUCACCAGCAUCACAGCGCUUCCCCGCACCUCGCGCCCCUGUGAUGCUGCUCUUCUUCUCCAACUGCCGCUGCUCCUCCCCUUGUCCCUUCUGCUGAUGCUCUUCCCUGCUGUCCUUCUUCCCUUGCCUUGCUCCUUCUCCAUCUCUUGCUGCUACUUCUUCUUCUCUGAACCUCAUUUCUUCUCCUUGCAUCCCCUUGUUGCUGCGCCUCUUUCUUUGCUACUGCUUCUCUUCUCACGCCCCCUGCUACUUUUCUUCUCCAAGCCCCGCUGCUUCUUCUCCAUCACGAAACUGCUGCCCCUCUCUUGCUGCGCCCCUGCCGCUUCUUCUCACGCUGCUGCUGCUCUCUAUCCCCACGUCCCUGCUGCUGCUCUUCUCUGAAACCUCAAAACUGCUGCUUCUUCUCCCUCUCUCUAUUCUCUAAUUUUCGGUAAUCUUGAGUAGUGUAAUGUUCAGUACUUUGAAAUGUUCAGAAUUGAGAUGUGUAGCUCUUGUAAGGUUCAGAUUUUGAUAAGUGUUUGCAAUAAACUAGUUUGUUCAGUUCGUACUUGUUAAAUAUCAUGUCAUAAAUUCUAUGUUUUUAAUAGUGGAUUUCUUGUUGCUUUGGGAACUAACUCAUAUGUAAUAUUUUGUUACUUUGGUAAUUAGUGCUCUGUCAGCAUAUAUGUGUGUUCACCCUGUGUAUUUCUUCUCGCUGUCUAGUUAAAUUCUAUCAGUAAUUUUUAGUUGUUAAAUACUGUUGUGUUGAUCUAUGGGUACUAAUCUUGUGGCUUGUAAGAUUUCAUUUCUGUUGUCACUUGUGUAACCUGAACCGUGGUGUAGUAUCCUGUUCGCAUAUGUGUGGUUUUGUGUGUUCUGUAGUCCCCGUAUCAGCUAUGUACCUGUGAUAUAUGAAUGUGCGUGUGUGUGUUUGAUUUGAAACAAUUAUAUUCUGUCAUAUACUGUCGCUUCUUCCUACUGUUAUAUGUUUGAUACUAAUGUGUCCUCGUCUUGUAGCUUUACUUGAUAUUGACUCCUGUUUGUGUUAGUAUUUUAAUUCCUCAAAUAAAACAAAAUACCAAAAAGAUAGUGAGUAAUAUCUUAACCUCCCUUUGCUAUUUUGCAUUUUCUUGGUGGAUUAUCUUCGGGUACAAUCAUUGUUAGUUUAGAUUCUUAUUUUCUGCAUUUAUCUCUUAAAAUUGUGCUACCUAGCUUUAGCCGAGCAUAGUCGUCGUCGCCUAGUCCCU
This 5028-nucleotide long non-coding RNA is filed under the name Triticum aestivum (bread wheat). RNAcentral's name for it is "long non-coding RNA (TAES_LNC012411)". The record is from RNAcentral. Lineage: Eukaryota; Viridiplantae; Streptophyta; Magnoliopsida; Poales; Poaceae.